UCAAAUUUGAAAUCUGGCGCCUUCGGUGUCCGAGUUGUAAUUUGAAGAAGGUAACUUUGGUUUUGGCUCUUGUCUAUGUUCCUUGGAACAGGACGUCACAGAGGGUGAGAAUCCCGUGCGAUGAGAUGCCCAAUUCCAUGUAAAGUGCUUUCGAAGAGUCGAGUUGUUUGGGAAUGCAGCUCUAAGUGGGUGGUAAAUUCCAUCUAAAGCUAAAUAUUGGCGAGAGACCGAUAGCGAACAAGUACAGUGAUGGAAAGAUGAAAAGAACUUUGAAAAGAGAGUGAAAAAGUACGUGAAAUUGUUGAAAGGGAAGGGUUUGAGAUCAGACUUGGUAUUUUGUAUGUUUUACUCUCGGGUGAGGCCUCUGCAGUUUACUGGGCCAGCAUCAGUUUGGAUGGUAGGAUAAUGACAUUGGAAUGUGGCUCUUCGGAGUGUUAUAGCCCUUGUUGAUACUGCCUAUCUAGACUGAGGACUGC
This 476-nucleotide ribosomal RNA is filed under the name Scheffersomyces coipomensis. RNAcentral describes it as "eukaryotic LSU rRNA". It matches the Rfam family "Eukaryotic large subunit ribosomal RNA", at positions 109 to 592 of the family's 3401-position model. Lineage: Eukaryota; Fungi; Ascomycota; Pichiomycetes; Serinales; Debaryomycetaceae. The record is from RNAcentral.